RNAcentral lists this ribosomal RNA (428 nucleotides) under uncultured bacterium. Its description in RNAcentral is "partial 16S ribosomal RNA". It matches the Rfam family "Bacterial small subunit ribosomal RNA", at positions 354 to 796 of the family's 1533-position model. The record is from RNAcentral.
GUGGGGAAUAUUGGGCAAUGGGCGAAAGCCUGACCCAGCAACGCCGCGUGGGGGAAGAAGUCCCUCGGGAUGUAAACCCUUGUUGUACGGGACGAAGGAAGUGACGGUACCGUACGAGGAAGCCCCGGCAAACUACGUGCCAGCAGCCGCGGUAAUACGUAGGGGGCGAGCGUUGUCCGGAAUCACUGGGCGUAAAGCGCACGUAGGCGGGCUGUUAAGUCGGCCGUGAAAGGCACUGGCUCAACCGGUGUUUGUCGGUCGAUACUGGCAGUCUGGAGUAUGGGAGAGGGAACUGGAAUUCCCGGUGUAGCGGUGAAAUGCGUAGAUAGCGGGAGGAACACCAGUGGCGAAGGCGGGUUCCUGGCCCAUGACUGACGCUGAGGUGCGAAAGCCGGGGGAGCGAACGGGAUUAGAAACCCGGGUAGUCC